RNAcentral lists this microRNA precursor (188 nucleotides) under Oryza brachyantha (malo sina). RNAcentral's name for it is "MIR812 microRNA precursor family". It matches the Rfam family "MIR812 microRNA precursor family". Lineage: Eukaryota; Viridiplantae; Streptophyta; Magnoliopsida; Poales; Poaceae. The record is from Rfam by way of RNAcentral.
AAUAAGCCAAUUUUUCACUUUUUACCUAUAAUUUUUGACUCUUCGUCUUAUUUAAUUUUUUUACAAUUGAUAUUUUUAUUUUUAUUAGAUGAUAAAUUAUAAAUAGUACUUUGCGUGUGACUAUUUUUUUUUUAAUUUUUUAAAAGUUUUUUAAAUAAGACGGAUGGUCAAACAUUAGAGACGGAAAU